RNAcentral lists this ribosomal RNA (496 nucleotides) under uncultured bacterium. RNAcentral describes it as "partial 16S ribosomal RNA". It matches the Rfam family "Bacterial small subunit ribosomal RNA", at positions 29 to 507 of the family's 1533-position model. The record is from RNAcentral.
ACGAACGCUGGCGGCGUGCCUAAUACAUGCAAGUUGAGCGCUGAAGGUUGGUACUUGUACCAACUGGAUGAGCAGCGAACGGGUGAGUAACGCGUGGGGAAUCUGCCUUUGAGCGGGGGACAACAUUAGGAAACGAAUGCUAAUACCGCAUAAAAACUUUAAACACAAGUUUUAAGUUUGAAAGAUGCAAUUGCAUCACUCAAAGAUGAUCCCGCGUUGUAUUAGCUAGUUGGUGAGGUAAAGGCUCACCAAGGCGAUGAUACAUAGCCGACCUGAGAGGGUGAUCGGCCACAUUGGGACUGAGACACGGCCCAAACUCCUACGGGAGGCAGCAGUAGGGAAUCUUCGGCAAUGGACGAAAGUCUGACCGAGCAACGCCGCGUGAGUGAAGAAGGUUUUCGGAUCGUAAAACUCGGUUGGUAGAGAAGAACGUUGGUGAGAGUGGAAAGCUCAUCAAGUGACGGUAACUACCCAGAAAGGGACGGCUAACUACGUG